UUGUAACGAUGGCGACCGAGUCUACCUAUCUUUACCGGAGGUAAGCUUUUUACGCCCAUAUGUUAAACGAACACUAAAUGCGAGAUCAUGGAACAUAAGCUAGGUCAAACACUAAGAUACUUUUUCAUGGGUAUUUGACGCACCGCCAAAAAGAUAAGAACAUUUGUAUGAAGAAUGACUUUUCAGUAAACAAUUGGUGAAUUUUGAUAUCAUCUUGUUCAAUGGUGAACAAGCUUGCUGUAUCAACCGUAAAAUCGCUUCGAAAUUGUAUUAGAAAGAUCGAAUAUACCGCUUUAACUGUGUACCAUGAGAAACGAAAAGCGAGGUAUCCACAGCAAUUUUUUAGCUCUUAAUCUAACAGAAAACCCCCUUCUGAAGAGAAAAUCCAUUAUCAAUUUUUGUUUAAAGAAAAAGUAUUGUCUUUAGUAGGGAACGAUGAAUUUGGUUAAAUAACAAAAUCAAUACAAUUUCUCAUAAUAAAAUUUUAGCUAAAUCGCCAUUUCCAGUUUCUUAUGUAUACAUCAAUUACUUGACUAAGAGGUGUGGACAGCAAAACAAGUUUUCGCUUUAUAUGAAAUGAACUGUAGAAAGCUCGAUAGGUGCUGAACUCAUAAAUGUAAAAUUACUACCGCCCGAAAUAUUUAUAUGGCUUUGGACUCAUUGCAAAUUUGCGACCCUGAAAAAUGAUAAUAAGCGGCACAUUGACAAUUACAGUUAUCUAGUGAA
Molecule: non-coding RNA, 726 nt
Organism: Schizosaccharomyces pombe (fission yeast)
Lineage: Eukaryota; Fungi; Ascomycota; Schizosaccharomycetes; Schizosaccharomycetales; Schizosaccharomycetaceae
Source: the annotation of a GenBank genome assembly